This 200-nucleotide ribosomal RNA is filed under the name uncultured bacterium. Its description in RNAcentral is "partial 16S ribosomal RNA". It matches the Rfam family "Bacterial small subunit ribosomal RNA", at positions 8 to 214 of the family's 1533-position model. The record is from RNAcentral.
AGAGUUUGAUCCUGGCUCAGAUUGAACGCUGGCGGCAUGCCUUACACAUGCAAGUCGAACGGCAGCACGGACUUCGGUCUGGUGGCGAGUGGCGAACGGGUGAGUAAUACAUCGGAACGUGUCCUGUAGUGGGGGAUAGCCCGGCGAAAGCCGGAUUAAUACCGCAUACGCUCUGCGGAGGAAAAGCGGGGGGAUCUUAG